UGUGUGUGUGUAUACAGCGGUUGGCCAAAAGUCACUUGACAGUAAAUCAAAGCCAUUUAAUUCCGAGAUUUCUUUAUGUUUAACAACUGAAUGAAUUUAAUAAAAGCAUCUAAAUAUGGAAUAUCA
This 126-nucleotide long non-coding RNA is filed under the name Octopus sinensis (East Asian common octopus). RNAcentral describes it as "uncharacterized LOC118764128, transcript variant X1". The record is from RNAcentral. Lineage: Eukaryota; Metazoa; Mollusca; Cephalopoda; Octopoda; Octopodidae.